Molecule: non-coding RNA, 564 nt
Organism: Erythranthe guttata (spotted monkey flower)
Lineage: Eukaryota; Viridiplantae; Streptophyta; Magnoliopsida; Lamiales; Phrymaceae
Source: RefSeq, a predicted model, not a curated record
CCUUGGGCAGGCCUAAAAUAUUACGUUUCUUGCGGCUUAAUAAUAACACGUUGAGUGGACGAAUUCCCCUAACUCUGACAACCAUCAAUACCCUUCAAGUCCUUGAUCUGUCAAAUAAUCAGCUCACGGGACCUAUUCCAGUUAAUGGAUCGUUUCAGCUUUUCACUCCUAUCAGUUUUGCAAAUAAUCCUUUGGAAGCUCUUCCAGUAUCACCACCACCUCCGAUUUCGCCGACAACUCCAUCUCCUUCUCAAGUGGGAUGAAUAGCCGAGCCGAGCCGGGAAAGUUGAAGCCGCAACAAAUUUAGAAAGUAUAAAAUUCUGAGUGGAACAGAACUUUUCACCGUCUCUCUCUAAUCAUAAGAGGAAGGAUUUGAGAGGCUCGUGAUUGGUCCGUGACCUCAGCUUUAUCACAGCUGUCUUCUUUUUGCCCUAUCCCAUUAAUCAUUCGGGCCCGGGCCGGGCCCCCGCUUCAUAAACGGGGCAGUUGAAUCAUGCAUAGUAUAUGAAUUUUCGGGCCUUUUAUUUUCAUUUAAAUAAAUAUAAUUUUUUAUUAUUUGUGUUA